UGGGGCCUAUUGUUGGGUACAGGGUUAUGUUACCUUAGCUGUGCAUCUGGAAUCAGGAAAUCACUGCUUCCACUGCUGGCUCAGAAACAUACCACCCAGGCUGAAGUCUAGGGAUCAGGAAACUGGCUCCAACAUGAUGGACUCUGGAGCCAUGAUUUGCCUGCUAAAGCUGUGCCAGCAAGAUAAGUAUCUCCCUUCCCACUUACACUAGCUUGAAUUGGGGUCUUGCUCAAGUGCGUCUUCAGUGAAAGUUACAUCGAGUGUGCCUGCCUCUCCUGCCUCUCCUUCCACCUCCUCUAACUCUCCUGCUUCUACCACCCCUGAGACAGCAAGACCAACCUCUCGUCAGCCUAUUCAAUGUGAAGAAAAUAAGGAGGAAGACCUUAUGAGGACCUACGUCCAAUCAAUAAAUAACUUGCGGGAGGUUCUGGAGUCCCAUGGUUAUUAAUCUCUGGAGGCUUCACCAUCCUUUGUGGGUUCCUUUAAUUAUCUCCAUUGCCUCAAAAGCUGUUGGGUUCUCAGGAAGCAGAUGAUGAGAUGGAGCUUGUGGUGCAAGAUAUUUACUCGGGUAAAAGGAAAAGAGAGGAAGAAAGAAGGAGC
Molecule: long non-coding RNA, 600 nt
Filed under: Homo sapiens (human)
Lineage: Eukaryota; Metazoa; Chordata; Mammalia; Primates; Hominidae
Description: HSALNT0074493
Source: RNAcentral